UUACUGAGUUUACGCUCUAUAACCCUUUGUGAACAUACCUAUAACUGUUGCUUCGGCGGGUAGGGUCUCCGCGACCCUCCCGGCCUCCCGCCCCCGGGCGGGUCGGCGCCCGCCGGAGGAUAACCAAACUCUGAUUUAACGACGUUUCUUCUGAGUGGUACAAGCAAAUAAUCAAAACUUUUAACAACGGAUCUCUUGGUUCUGGCAUCGAUGAAGAACGCAGCGAAAUGCGAUAAGUAAUGUGAAUUGCAGAAUUCAGUGAAUCAUCGAAUCUUUGAACGCACAUUGCGCCCGCCAUCAUUCUGGCGGGCAUGCCUGUUCGAGCGUCAUUUCAACCCUCAAGCUCUGCUUGGUGUUGGGGCCCUACAGCUGAUGUAGGCCCUCAAAGGUAGUGGCGGACCCUCCCGGAGCCUCCUUUGCGUAGUAACUUUACGUCUCGCACUGGGAUCCGGAGGGACUCUUGCCGUAAAACCCCCAAUUUUCCAAAGGUUGACCUCGGAUCAGGUAGGAAUACCCGCUGAACUUAAGCAUAUCAAUAAGCGGAGGAAAAGAAACCAACAGGGAUUGCCUCAGUAACGGCGAGUGAAGCGGCAACAGCUCAAAUUUGAAAUCUGGCCCUAGGCCCGAGUUGUAAUUUGCAGAGGAUGCUUUUGGUGCGGUGCCUUCCAAGUUCCCUAGAACGGGACGCCAGAGAGGGUGAGAGCCCCGUACAGUUGGACACCAAGCCUUUGUAAAGCUCCUUCGACGAGUCGAGUAGUUUGGGAAUGCUGCUCAAAAUGGGAGGUAUAUUUCUUCUAAAGCUAAAUACCGGCCAGAGACCGAUAGCGCACAAGUAGAGUGAUCGAAAGAUGAAAAGCACUUUGAAAAGAGGGUUAAACAGCACGUGAAAUUGUUAAAAGGGAAGCGCUUGUGACCAGACUUGCGUCCGGUGAAUCACCCAGCUCUCGCGGCUGGGGCACUUCGCCGGCUCAGGCCAGCAUCAGCUCGCUGUCGGGGACAAAAGCUUCAGGAACGUAGCUCUCUUCGGGGAGUGUUAUAGCCUGUUGCAUAAUACCCUUCGGCGGGCGAGGUACGC
This 1075-nucleotide unclassified non-coding RNA is filed under the name leaf metagenome. RNAcentral describes it as "partial contains internal transcribed spacer 1, 5.8S ribosomal RNA, internal transcribed spacer 2, and large subunit ribosomal RNA". The stretch from base 491 to 1075 matches the Rfam family "Eukaryotic large subunit ribosomal RNA", at positions 1 to 597 of the family's 3401-position model. The record is from RNAcentral.